UGGGGAAUUUUGGACAAUGGGGGAAACCCUGAUCCAGCCAUCCCGCGUGUGCGAUGAAGGCCUUCGGGUUGUAAAGCACUUUUGGCAGGAAAGAAACGUCAUGGGUUAAUACCCCGUGAAACUGACGGUACCUGCAGAAUAAGCACCGGCUAACUACGUGCCAGCAGCCGCGGUAAUACGUAGGGUGCAAGCGUUAAGCGGAAUUACUGGGCGUAAAGCGUGCGCAGGCGGUUCGGAAAGAAAGAUGUGAAAUCCCAGAGCUCAACUGUGGAACUGCAUUUUUAACUACCGGGCUAGAGUGUGUCAGAGGGAGGUGGAAUUCCGCGUGUAGCAGUGAAAUGCGUAGAUAUGCGGAGGAACACCGAUGGCGAAGGCAGCCUCCUGGGAUAACACUGACGCUCAUGCACGAAAGCGUGGGGAGCAAACAGG
Molecule: ribosomal RNA, 429 nt
Filed under: Acidobacteriota bacterium
Lineage: Bacteria; Pseudomonadati; Acidobacteriota
Description: Acidobacteria bacterium partial 16S ribosomal RNA
Rfam family: Bacterial small subunit ribosomal RNA
Source: RNAcentral